UUCCAGCUCCAAUAGCGUAUAUUAAAGUUGUUGCAGUUAAAAAGCUCGUAGUUGGAUUUCUGGGCUGAGCGACCGGUCCGCCGCUGUGCGGUGUGUACUCGUGUUCGACUCGGCUCAUCCUUGUGAGGAAACGCAUUUCGGCAUUAGGUUGUCGAGGCGGGGAACCGCAUCGUUUACUGUGAAAAAAUUAGAGUGUUUAAAGCAGGCAAAUUGCUGUGAAUACAUUAGCAUGGAAUAAUAACAUAGGACUUUGGUUCUAUUUUGUUGGUUGGAGGCCAAGGUAAUGAUUAAUAGGGAUAGUUGGGGGUAUUCAUAUUUAAUUGUCAGAGGUGAAAUUCUUGGAUUUAUGAAAGAUGAACUCAUGCGAAAGCAUUUACCAAGGAUGUUUUCAUCA
This 394-nucleotide ribosomal RNA is filed under the name Stramenopiles sp. MAST-3D. Its description in RNAcentral is "partial small subunit ribosomal RNA". It matches the Rfam family "Eukaryotic small subunit ribosomal RNA", at positions 583 to 975 of the family's 1831-position model. The record is from RNAcentral.